AUGGCAGCAGCUACUCUUCCUGGGGUUUAUUAUGGAUCCCCAUUAGUUCCUGUCAAGGCAGCAGCUACUCUUCCUGGGGUUUAUUAUGGAUCCCCAUUAGUUCCUGCCAAGGCAGCAGCUACUCUUCCUGGGGUUUAUUAUGGAUCCCCAUUAGUUCCUGGCAAGGCAGCAGCUACUCUUCCUGGGGUUUAUUAUGGAUCCCCACUAGUUCCUGCCAAGGCAUCAGCUACUCUUCCUGGGGUUUAUUAUGGAUCUCCAUUAGUUCCUGCCAAGGCAGCAGCUACUCUUCCUGGGGUUUAUUAUGGAUCCCCAUUAGUUCCUGUCAAGGCAGCAGCUACUCUUCCUGGGGUUUAUUAUGGAUCCCCAUCAGUUCCUGCCAAGGCAGCAGCUACUCUUCCUGGGGUUUAUUACGGAUCCCCAUCAGUUCCUGCCAAGGCAGCAGCUACUCUUCCUGGGGUUUAUUAUGGAUCCCCAUUAGUUCCUGUUAAGGCAGCAGCUACUCUUCCUGGGGUUUAUUAUGGAUCCCCAUUAGUUCCUGCCAAGGCAGUAGCUACUCUUCCUGGGGUUUAUUAUGGAUUCCCAUUAGUUCCUGCCAAGGCAGUAGCUACUCUUCCUGGGGUUUAUUAUGGAUUCCCAUUAGUUCCUGCCAUGGCAGCAGCUACUCUUCCUGGGGUUUAUUAUAGAUCCCCAUUAGUUCCUGUCAAGGCAGCAGCUACUCUACCUGGGGUUUAUUAUGGAUCCCCAUUAGUUCCUGCCAAGGCAGUAGCUACUCUUCCUGGGGUUUAUUAUGGAUUCCCAUUAGUUCCUGCCAAGGCAGUAGCUACUCUUCCUGGGGUUUAUUAUGGAUUCCCAUUAGUUCCUGCCAAGGCAGCAGCUACUCUUCCUGGGGUUUAUUAUGGAUUCCCAUUAGUUCCUGCCAAGGCAGCAGCUACUCUUCCUGAGGUUUAUUAUGGAUCCCAAUCAGUUACUGCCAAGGUAGUAGCUACUCUUCCUGGGGUUUAUUAUGGAUUCCCAUUAGUUCCUGCCAAGGCAGUAGCUACUCUUCCUGGGGUUUUUUAUGGAUUCCCAUUAGUUCCUGUCAAGGCAGCAGCUACUCUUCCUGGGGUUUAUUAUGGAUCCCCAUUAGUUCCUGCCAAGGCAGGAGCUACUCUUCCUGGGGUUUAUUAUGGAUUCCCAUUAGUUCCUGCCAAGGCAGCAGCUACUCUUCCUGAGGUUUAUUAUGGAUCCCAAUCAGUUACUGCCAAGGUAGUAGCUACUCUUCCUGGGGUUUAUUAUGGAUCCCCAUUAGUUCCUGUUAAGGCAGCAGCUACUCUUCCUGGGGUUUAUUAUGGAUUCCCAUUAGUUCCUGCCAAGGCAGUAGCUACUCUUCCUGGGGUUUAUUAUGGAUUCUCAUUAGUUCCAGCCAAGGCAGCAGCUACUCUUCCUGGGGUUUAUUAUGGAUUCCCAUUAGUUCCUGCCAAGGCAGCAGCUACUCUUCCUGAGGUUUAUUAUGGAUCCCCAUUAGUUCCUGCCAAGGCAGCAACUACUCUUCCUGAGGUUUAUUAUGGAUUCCCAUUAGUUCCUGCCAAGGCAGUAGCUACUCUUCCUGGGGUUUUUUAUGGAUUCCCAUUAGUUCCUGUCAAGGCAGCAGCUACUCUUCCUGGGGUUUAUUAUGGAUCCCCAUUAGUUCCUGCCAAGGCAGGAGCUACUCUUCCUGGGGUUUAUUAUGGAUUCCCAUUAGUUCCUGCCAAGGCAGCAGCUACUCUUCCUGGGGUUUAUUAUGGAUUGCCAUUAGUUCCUGCCAUGGCAGCAGCUACUCUUCCUGAGGUUUAUUAUGGAUCCCCAUUAGUUCCUACCAAGGCAGCAACUACUCUUCCUGAGGUUUAUUAUGGAUUCCCAUUAGUUCCUGCCAAGGCAGUAGCUACUCUUCCUGGGGUUUAUUAUGGAUUCCCAUUAGUUCCUGCCAAGGCAGCAACUACUCUUCCUGAGGUUUAUUAUGGAUCCCCAAUAGUUUCUGCCAAGGCAGCAGCUACUCUUCCUGGGGUUUAUUAUGGAUUCCCAUUAGUUCCUGCCAAGGCAGCAGCUACUCUUCCUGAGGUUUAUUAUGGAUCCCAAUCAGUUACUGCCAAGGUAGUAGCUACUCUUCCUGGGGUUUAUUAUGGAUCCCCAUUAGUUCCUGUUAAGGCAGCAGCUACUCUUCCUGGGGUUUAUUAUGGAUUCCCAUUAGUUCCUGCCAAGGCAGUAGCUACUCUUCCUGGGGUUUAUUAUGGAUUCUCAUUAGUUCCAGCCAAGGCAGCAGCUACUCUUCCUGGGGUUUAUUAUGGAUUCCCAUUAGUUCCUGCCAAGGCAGCAGCUACUCUUCCUGAGGUUUAUUAUGGAUCCCCAUUAGUUCCUGCCAAGGCAGCAACUACUCUUCCUGAGGUUUAUUAUGGAUUCCCAUUAGUUCCUGCCAAGGCAGUAGCUACUCUUCCUGGGGUUUAUUAUGGAUUCCAAUUAGUUCCUGUCAAGGCAGCAGCUACUCUUCCUGGGGUUUAUUAUGGAUCCCCAUUAGUUCCUGCCAAGGCAGGAGCUACUCUUCCUGGGGUUUAUUAUGGAUUCCCAUUAGUUCCUGCCAAGGCAGCAGCUACUCUUCCUGGGGUUUAUUAUGGAUUGCCAUUAGUUCCUGCCAUGGCAGCAGCUACUCUUCCUGAGGUUUAUUAUGGAUCCCCAUUAGUUCCUGCCAAGGCAGCAACUACUCUUCCUGAGGUUUAUUAUGGAUCCCCAUUAGUUCCUGCCAAGGCAGCAGCUACUCUUCCUGGGGUUUAUUAUGGAUUCCCAUUAGUUCCUGCCAAGGCAGCAACUACUCUUCCUGAGGUUUAUUAUGGAUCCCCAAUAGUUUCUGCCAAGGCAGCAGCUACUCUUCCUGAGGUUCAUUAUGGAUCCCCAUUAGUUCCUGCCAAGGCAGCAGCUACUCUUCCUGAG
This is a long non-coding RNA of Oncorhynchus mykiss (rainbow trout), 2940 nucleotides long. NCBI's taxonomy places the organism in Eukaryota, Metazoa, Chordata, Actinopteri, Salmoniformes, Salmonidae. The record is from Ensembl.